UAGGGCUCAAAAAUGCAAUUUUUGCUAAUAGAUGGGUUUGAUCUAUUUUGACCCUAUGUAAAGCUAAUUGCUAGGUAACGAAACGCGUUGGCGAAGACGGAUCGGCAAUCCGACGAGCCGUUACAAAGUUAUUAAAGAAACGAACGUUUAGGCUUCGUUUCCGCCUGGAGGGCCGAGGCGACGUCGUAAAAUCAUGAAAACGGAUUUAAAGCACCGUGGCACAUAACCGAAGACCUUUAAUUUCCGGAUCGUAAAUCGGAGAUCGUUUGGGUGGUCGCGCGAGAGUUCGAGCCAAA
This 296-nucleotide long non-coding RNA is filed under the name Ananas comosus (pineapple). Its description in RNAcentral is "long non-coding RNA (ACOM_LNC039206)". Lineage: Eukaryota; Viridiplantae; Streptophyta; Magnoliopsida; Poales; Bromeliaceae. The record is from RNAcentral.